RNAcentral lists this ribosomal RNA (271 nucleotides) under Gammarus sp. t TM-2021. Its description in RNAcentral is "partial 16S ribosomal RNA". The record is from RNAcentral. Lineage: Eukaryota; Metazoa; Arthropoda; Malacostraca; Amphipoda; Gammaridae.
GCUAAGGUAGCAUAGUCAUUUGUUAUUUAAUUGGUAACUGGAAUGAAAGGUUAAACUAGCUUAUUAAGUUUGUGUAACUAAAUAGGAAAUUAAAGUUAAGGUAAGAAUUCUUUAAUCUUCUAGGGGACGAUAAGACCCUAGAAGCUUAACAAGUAGAUUUUUGGUUUUACAAGGUAGCUUGUUUUACUGGGGCGGUAAAAAUAAUUAAGCUAUUUAUUAUUUAAAAGAUCCUUUAAAUAAAGAAAAAAUGGGGGAGUUACUCUAGGGAUAA